RNAcentral lists this ribosomal RNA (233 nucleotides) under uncultured bacterium. RNAcentral's name for it is "partial 16S ribosomal RNA". It matches the Rfam family "Bacterial small subunit ribosomal RNA", at positions 104 to 334 of the family's 1533-position model. The record is from RNAcentral.
CGGACGGGGUGAGUAAUGUCUGGGAAACUGCCCGAUGGAGGGGGGUAACUACUGGAAACGGUAGCUAAUACCGCAUAACGUCGCAAGACCAAAGAGGGGGACCUUCGGGCCUCUUGCCAUCGGAUGUGCCCAGAUGGGAUUAGCUAGUAGGUGGGGUAAUGGCUCACCUAGGCGACGAUCCCUAGCUGGUCUGAGAGGAUGACCAGCCACACUGGAACUGAGACACGGUCCAG